RNAcentral lists this ribosomal RNA (393 nucleotides) under uncultured bacterium. RNAcentral describes it as "partial 16S ribosomal RNA". It matches the Rfam family "Bacterial small subunit ribosomal RNA", at positions 523 to 918 of the family's 1533-position model. The record is from RNAcentral.
AUACGGAGGACGCGAGCGUUAUCCGGAUUCAUUGGGUUUAAAGGGUGCGCAGGCGGCCGUGCAAGUCAGCGGUGAAAGCCCGGGGCUCAACCCCGGAAGUGCCGUUGAUACUGCAUGGCUGGAAUGCGGUCGAGGCGGGCGGAACGCGGCGGGUCGCGGUGAAAUGAGUAGAUAGGACACAGAACGCGGAUAGCGGAGGGAGCGCGCCAGGCCUGCAUUGACGCUCGGGCACGAAAGCGUGGGGAUCGAACAGGAUUAGAUACCCUGGUAGUCCGCACAGUAAACGAUGAAUACUUGUUUUCGGUGAUAAAAUGUCGGAGGCAAAGCGAAAGCGAUAAGUAUUCCACCUGGGGAGUACGCCGGCAACGGGGAAACUCAAAUGAAGUGGCGGGG